Molecule: small nucleolar RNA, 73 nt
Organism: Chanos chanos (milkfish)
Lineage: Eukaryota; Metazoa; Chordata; Actinopteri; Gonorynchiformes; Chanidae
Source: RefSeq, a predicted model, not a curated record
CGUGAAGUGAUGAGCUAUGCUUACCGCCCCAGUCUGAUAUAAAGUGACUGAUUGGUAACAACUCUGAUCCACA